AUGGAGUUGCUGUGCUGUGAGGGCACCCGACACGCGCCCCGGGCCGGGCCAGACCCGCGGCUGCUGGGGGACCAGCGUGUCCUGCAGAGCUUGCUCCGCCUGGAGGAGCGCUACGUGCCCCGCGCCUCCUACUUCCAAUGCGUGCAGAAGGAGAUCAAGCCGCACAUGCGGAAGAUGCUGGCGUACUGGAUGCUGGAGGUGUGUGAGGAACAGCGCUGUGAGGAGGAAGUCUUCCCCCUGGCCAUGAACUACCUGGAUCGCUACCUGUCUUGUGUCCCCACCGGAAAGGCGCAGUUGCAGCUCCUGGGUGCGGUCUGCAUGCUGCUGGCAUCCAAGUUGCGCGAAACCACGCCCCUGACCAAUGAAAAACUGUGUAUCUACACCGACCACCCUGUGUCUCCCCACCAGAUGCGGGAGUGGGAGGUGCUGGUCUUGGGAAAACUCAAAUGGGACCUGGCUGCUGUGAUUGCGCAUGAUUUUCUGGCCCUGAUUCUGCACCAGCUCUCUCUGCCCAGUGACCCACAGGCCUCGGUCAAAAAGCACGCCCAGACCUUCUUGGCCCUCUGUGCUACAGAUUACACCUUUGCCAUGUAUCCGCCGUCUAUGAUCGUAACAGGCAGCAUUGGGGCUGCAGUGCAAGGCCUGGGCGCGUGCUCCACAUCCGGAGAUGAGCUCACAGAGUUGCUGGCAGGGAUCACAGGCACUGAAGUGGACUGCCUGCGGGCCUGUCAGGAGCAGAUUGAAGCUGCGCUYAGGGAGAGUCUGAGGGAAGCUGCCCAGAUCACCCCCAGCCCAGCGCCCGAAGCACCCCGGGGGCUCCAGCAGCCAGGGGCCCAGCCAGACCAGCACGCCCACAGAUGUUACAGCCAUCUACCUGUAG
This is a non-coding RNA of Urocitellus parryii (Arctic ground squirrel), 880 nucleotides long. The record is from RefSeq and is a predicted model, not a curated record. NCBI's taxonomy places the organism in Eukaryota, Metazoa, Chordata, Mammalia, Rodentia, Sciuridae.